CAGUCAAAGGAGAUCGAUUCCGUAAAAGAUGAGAUCAGUAAAUGACAAUUAACUGAAAUUUAAUCUUUGUGAGAUCGUCAAUAUUGUACUGAGGGCGUCUUUAGUGUAUACCAAAUCAGUAUAGCUAUCCUUCUUCUGACACAGCAACGCAAUUUGAAUUAGUAUCAAAAGUAAGUACUAAAUAAUUUCUUUUUUCCUUUACUUGUUGAUGUAAAAUCAUCGUCCAUUCAAUAUCA
Solanum lycopersicum (tomato) is the source of this 236-nucleotide non-coding RNA. The record is from RefSeq and is a predicted model, not a curated record. Lineage: Eukaryota; Viridiplantae; Streptophyta; Magnoliopsida; Solanales; Solanaceae.